ACGGAGUCGGCUGGUUUCCAAGUUUCCAAGGUUUCCAAGCUGCCCAGGAGUGCUUCCUCUGGAAUGAGACGCCUUCCUUCUCCUGCCAGGAGCUAGUCUGGCCACCCCCAGAGGCUGAAAAUGAAGACUCUCCUGGGAAGCCCUUGGCUAAGGAUUGGAUCUGCCUGGCCCCAAAGUCAUCAAAACAACAGCUGGGCCUGGUGGGGGUUGGGAGGUGACUGUAGAGAUCAACUCCUAAGCUUAAGUGGCUGCUAGCUGGGUGAGGAACUCUGUCAUAGCAGCUGUCUGAGACAUUCUGUUUCUGAAAGGUGUUUCCCAGCUUCCCAAGCCCAUCUUGAAGCCUUGGGUGUCCUCCAGGUGGCCCUGGGAAAGUCCAAGGGGGGUAAUGGGAUGACCUACUUUAGCCCAAUCUUUCAGAUUUUCUUCUCAUUUAUUAUAUUUUAUUUUUCCUGGCGUGUUUCCAAAGGAACUCAGUUGCAGGGCAUGCUGGUUUAUGAUUGCAAUCUUAGCACUAGGGAGGCUGAGGCAGAAGAAUUGCUGUGAGUUUGAGGCCAGCCUGGGCUAUAAAAUAAGAUUCUGUAAAAAAAACAAAACACCAUUGUGCUGUGAAAUGGAGCUGGGUAGCAGGGUAUAGCCUAGUGUUUGUGUGAGGCAGAGAGAUGACCUAGAUUCCAUUCACAGCAUCACAAAAAAAAAAAAAAAAAAAAGAAAAAGAAAGAAAGAAAGAAGAAAGAAAAAUAAAAAUGACUGUGGAGAUUGUAGGAGGUCUGUGGAAGUGUGGAAGAGGUCUAGGGUCUGUAUUUAGCUGUGAAGAACACAGCUGUGUCAUCUGGUAGAGAAGCAGAGCCUGGGUACUGAGGAAAUGAGCUAGCUCACCACACAGCCAGGUGCAGAUCUGGGGUCAUUGCUCCUUCCUAACCCUCUUCAGAGGUCCUAAGGGCACCUGCUGUCUCCACCACCGUACGGACAGGUCCCUGAAAGGGGGUUUUGGACUAAAGGGAAGAGUGAGCCUGGUUCUUCAGUCAUAACGUCCGCUUUCCAUUCCCUGAGGUCCCCACCGCUGGAAGACUCCCUUUCAAGACUACUUGGACCUUCCUUGGGAUGGGACAGGAACCUUGGGUGACUUCUUACAGAAGCAUUUCAGCCAGGACCCAAAGCUGGGGGUCCCAUGUCAAGAUGGAGUGUUACUGUUCAGCUAAUGGCAUAUUUGGGGUUUACAGUCUAUCUCUGA
Molecule: non-coding RNA, 1231 nt
Organism: Peromyscus maniculatus bairdii (prairie deer mouse)
Lineage: Eukaryota; Metazoa; Chordata; Mammalia; Rodentia; Cricetidae
Source: RefSeq, a predicted model, not a curated record